This is a non-coding RNA of Phaethon lepturus (White-tailed tropicbird), 73 nucleotides long. Lineage: Eukaryota; Metazoa; Chordata; Aves; Phaethontiformes; Phaethontidae. The record is from Rfam.
GUUUCCAUAGUGUAGUGGGUAUCACGUUUGCCUAACACGCGAAAGAUCCCUGGUUCAAGACCAGGAGGAAACA